This 254-nucleotide ribosomal RNA is filed under the name uncultured bacterium. RNAcentral's name for it is "partial 16S ribosomal RNA". It matches the Rfam family "Bacterial small subunit ribosomal RNA", at positions 524 to 776 of the family's 1533-position model. The record is from RNAcentral.
UACGUAGGGGGCAAGCGUUGUCCGGAAUCAUUGGGCGUAAAGAGCGCGUAGGCGGCCCUGUAAGUCUGCUGUGAAAGUCCAGGGCUCAACCCUGGGAUGCCGGUGGAUACUGUCGGGCUCGAGUCCGGAAGAGGCGAGUGGAAUUCCUGGUGUAGCGGUGAAAUGCGCAGAUAUCAGGAGGAACACCAAUGGCGAAGGCAGCUCGCUGGGACGUGACUGACGCUGAGACGCGAAAAGCGUGGGGGAGAAACAGG